Molecule: ribosomal RNA, 403 nt
Filed under: Verrucomicrobiota bacterium
Lineage: Bacteria; Pseudomonadati; Verrucomicrobiota
Description: Verrucomicrobia bacterium partial 16S ribosomal RNA
Rfam family: Bacterial small subunit ribosomal RNA
Source: RNAcentral
UGGGGAAUAUUGCACAAUGGAGGGAACUCUGAUGCAGCGACGCCGCGUGAACGAAGAAGGCUUUCGAGUCGUAAAGUUCUUUUAUAUGGGAAGAUAAUGACGGUACCAUAAGAAAAAGCCUCGGCUAACUACGUGCCAGCAGCCGCGGUAAUACGUACGGGGCUAGCGUUGUCCGGAAUCACUGGGCGUAAAGGGUUCGCAGGCGGAAAUGCAAGUCAGGUGUAAAAGGCAGUAGCUUAACUACUGUAAGCAUUUGAAACUGCAUAUCUUGAGAAGAGUAGAGGUAAGUGGAAUUUUUAGGGUAGCGGUGAAAUGCGUAGAUAUUAAAAAGAAUACCGGUGGCGAAGGCGACUUACUGGGCUCAUUCUGACGCUGAGGAACGAAAGCGUGGGUAGCAAACAGG